CUUAAGGUAGUUUAAUCUAAAACUCUGAGUUGUGGCCCCAGCAAUGCACAUUAUUGUGCCCUUAAUC
RNAcentral lists this transfer RNA (67 nucleotides) under Asychis amphiglyptus. Its description in RNAcentral is "tRNA-His". The record is from RNAcentral. Lineage: Eukaryota; Metazoa; Annelida; Polychaeta; Maldanidae.